This 103-nucleotide microRNA precursor is filed under the name Marmota monax (woodchuck). Lineage: Eukaryota; Metazoa; Chordata; Mammalia; Rodentia; Sciuridae. The record is from RNAcentral.
AGUGGGAUAAUUGGGUCAAAUGGUGUUUCCAUUCCAAGUUUUCUGAGGAAUCUCCACACUGCUUUCCAGAGAGGUUGCACCAAUUUGAAGGCCCACUGGUAAU